RNAcentral lists this ribosomal RNA (253 nucleotides) under uncultured bacterium. Its description in RNAcentral is "partial 16S ribosomal RNA". It matches the Rfam family "Bacterial small subunit ribosomal RNA", at positions 524 to 776 of the family's 1533-position model. The record is from RNAcentral.
UACGAAGGGGGCUAGCGUUGCUCGGAAUCACUAGGCGUAAAGCGCACGUAGGCGGCUUUUUAAGUCAGGGGUGAAAUCCUGGAGCUCAACUCCAGAACUGCCUUUGAUACUGAGAAGCUUGAGUCCGGGAGAGGUGAGUGGAACUGCGAGUGUAGAGGUGAAAUUCGUAGAUAUUCGCAAGAACACCAGUGGCGAAGGCGGCUCACUGGCCCGAUACUGACGCUGAGGCACGAAAGCGUGGGGAGCAAACAGG